Molecule: ribosomal RNA, 802 nt
Filed under: uncultured bacterium
Lineage: Bacteria
Description: bacterial SSU rRNA
Rfam family: Bacterial small subunit ribosomal RNA
Source: RNAcentral
AGCACGGGAGCAAUCCUGGUGGCGAGUGGCGAACGGGUGAGUAAUGUAUCGGAACGUACCUUUCAGUGGGGGAUAACGUAGCGAAAGUUACGCUAAUACCGCAUAUUCUGUGAGCAGGAAAGCAGGGGAUCGCAAGACCUUGCGCUGAUUGAGCGGCCGAUAUCAGAUUAGCUAGUUGGUGAGGUAAAGGCUCACCAAGGCGACGAUCUGUAGCGGGUCUGAGAGGAUGAUCCGCCACACUGGAACUGAGACACGGUCCAGACUCCUACGGGAGGCGGCAGUGGGGAAUUUUGGACAAUGGGGGCAACCCUGAUCCAGCCAUGCCGUGUGAGUGAAGAAGGCCUUCGGGUUGUAAAGCUCUUUCAGCCGGGAAGAAAACGCAUGGGUUAAUACCCUGUGUGGAUGACGGUACCGGAAUAAGAAGCACCGGCUAACUACGUGCCAGCAGCCGCGGUAAUACGUAGGGUGCGAGCGUUAAUCGGAAUUACUGGGCGUAAAGCGUGCGCAGGCGGUUUGUUAAGAUAGGCGUGAAAUCCCCGGGCUCAACCUGGGAACUGCGUUUAUGACUGGCAGGCUAGAGUAUGGCAGAGGGGGGUGGAAUUCCACGUGUAGCAGUGAAAUGCGUAGAGAUGUGGAGGAACACCGAUGGCGAAGGCAGCCCCCUGGGCCAAUACUGACGCUCAUGCACGAAAGCGUGGGUAGCAAACAGGAUUAGAUACCCUGGUAGUCCACGCCCUAAACGAUGUCAACUAGGUGUUGGGUGGGUAAAACCAUUUAGUACCGGAGCUAACGCGUGAAGUUG